Molecule: microRNA precursor, 215 nt
Organism: Oryza rufipogon (brownbeard rice)
Lineage: Eukaryota; Viridiplantae; Streptophyta; Magnoliopsida; Poales; Poaceae
Rfam family: MIR812 microRNA precursor family
Source: Rfam
AAUAACCUCAGCCAUGAGUUUCCGUAUUCAAUUUUAACCAUCCGUCUUAUUUAAAACUUAUUAUUAUUAUUAUUAUUAUUAUUAUUAUUAUUAUUAUUAUUAUUAUAAAGCAUGGAUAGUACUUUAUAUGUACUAAUGUUUUUUAGAUUUUUGAAAAAUUUUUAAAUAAGACGGACGGCUAAAGUUGGAUAUGGAAGCUCAUGGCUGGACAUUUA